This is a long non-coding RNA of Theobroma umbraticum, 4065 nucleotides long. RefSeq lists it as uncharacterized. NCBI's taxonomy places the organism in Eukaryota, Viridiplantae, Streptophyta, Magnoliopsida, Malvales, Malvaceae. The record is from RefSeq and is a predicted model, not a curated record.
GAAAAUGAGAAAACCACUUGCGCCAUAAUUUUCCCAUUUCGGAGGCUAUCUUUUUGUUAGCUCACAAAACCGGAGUCGGUGAGGGGACACGUGGAGGGGGGAAGUUGGUCUGUUGUGAUUAUAAAUAACCAGCAAGGAAGGGAAAACCCAAGCCCAUUGAUAGGGUUAUAGAAAUAGUAAUAGUAAUAGACGGUUGCGUUUUUAGCAAAGCCAAAAUUUUCCCUAAAGGAGUUGGAGAUUGAUUCAGUUACCGGCGGUCUCUAAUUCGCUUGGUGCAGGUCGGGAACUGAUUGGCUGCUGCUCCUUAAUAGUGGAUUGGAUUGGAUUUAGGCCAGAUGGCGGGCCGUGACUGGAGGAAGCAGGAAUUGGAUCCCGCCUUGCAUCAACUGAAUCGGAGACCGCGGUGAGGGGUUGCAUGGAUCUUGCCUUCUUUUUAUGUGUUAUGUUCAGAUCUCAGGAGAUACAUGAAGGUAACUAUCGUGCCCUAUUAAUCUUUUAUUUCCCUUUGACGAUACAAAUGUGAAGGCAAUGACUCGGGACCCAGAGAGGUAAAAAAAUUUUAAAUUGCCCAGAUUUUUCUUGUUUUAAUAAAAAAGGGAUGGUAUUGUAGUAAUAAAGGAAACGCAAUGACUACUUGCAUAAUGCUUUUACUUAAAUAUUGGAAUUAGUUCUGUAAAUAUAUAAUUUUUUAUAUUUUGGAAUUAGUUUAGUUCCAUAUUUUGUUAAUUUGGAGUAAUAUCCAUUCUGUUGGUUCUUUUUUUUUUCUUUUUUGGAUGAGUAAUAUCCAUUCUGUUAGUAGCCUUUUUAAUGUAGGUGCGACUUUUUCUGUGAUAUCUGAAGUUUAUGUGUCUGGUCAGAACUGAUCUAGUGUUUAUUUAGGUGAACUUCUUCUGAAGAUUUUGAUACGUAAAAUUGUUAAGAGGAAAAAGAAAUUAAACCCCAUAAAUUGAUAAAACUUGAUAUUACAUAUUAUGGCAGAAGAAAUUUUCUACUACUAGUUCACACAAGCCCUAGUUUUUUGUAUAUUUAUUAGUCUAGGUUCUUCUACCCCAAAAGAACAAGGCCAGGUUCUAUAUUUUUUUUUAUUUUAAUUUUUGUUUGAUCAUUUUUCGUUGCAAUUUUACCAUUUCCUCACAAGCCUUUUUGGGGAAUAAAUCUCAUUUUCAGUAUAAUGUUUUUGUUAAUAUUGACUCUUUCUGACUUUGAUCAAUUAGUUUCAAUAGCCUGAUAAAUAUAUAUAUAGAGAGAGAGAGAGCUGAGGUGUCUUAAAAUUGUCAUUUUAACUUCUGGGUUAGUCUGAACUAAUUUGAACUUUAAGUUUCCGUCGUGUAUUUAAAAGUUAGCAAAUGGUUUCUUCAACUGUAAAAGGUAGUUAAAAGAAAAAUAGUACACUGAACUUUAUCUCAACUCUAUUGAUCUUUGCAAGUUUGCAAUUGUAGGUUUCAAUUUGAAGGUGAGGGCCUUUGACCAUACGUUUUAGGCUUCAUUUAUGGUUCAAUGAGGUUGCAUUUCAUCCUUGUAAUAAUGAUUAAAUUAAGGUUCUGUAUUUGCUUUUUGUUAACAUGUUUGGUAGUCCUUCUAGAUUGAUGUCUGGUCUUGACUCUUUCCUCAUUUUGAACAUUUAUCUAUAUUUCUCGCUUCAAAUUUGAUGCAAUUGAUUAGUUGUACUGACAUUUUGAUUCUAAUUGUCUCCCAUGAUGUGAUUUUAAUUUUAUUUACUGCGACCAAUUUGAACUUUGAAAAUCAUAGUAAAUGCCAUUAGGGUAGAACUGCAGUUUCUGUGCUCGGGAAUAUUCCCUAUUUCAAUUUUAUUUUAAUGCUCCUUGCUUAACUCAAUUUGAGUUGUAAGAUUGUCCGUUAUUUAUUGAUUCAUUUAAAGGCUCUGAGAUUUACUUGAUGGAGGGUGUUUGAUAAAAAGGCUUUAAGCUUUUCAGAUUACCUGUAAUGGCUUUUAAUUUGCAGAGCUGCUGGAGGUAUUUCAAUGAAUGGAAAAUCCCCUUAGGAAGACAUUGAGAGAGACUGAAAAUUUUAAACAAUUGACAUGCUCAAAUAACUUUUGUCCUGGUAUCUGAAACUUUAGAUUGCAACUCUAUUCAGUGUGUGUGGCUAUUCAUUUCUUUCUGCUGCUGUUUUGUCUCAUUAUAAUAAUAUUGUUGACAUUUUAUCGACUUGAGAAGAUGGGUGGCUUGAAAUUCAAUAUUACAGGUGGAGACAGCAAUUGCUGUUAGAAUUAUCCAUUGAUGGUUGAAUUGUCUUUUCUAGUUGAAGUGCUAGUUGUUUGAUUCUUUGUGGGAACAUCUGUAGCAAUUAGCAUUAACUAACCCAAAAAUUUCCCCCUUCUCGGAUGCUAAUGUACAUUUGAAUUGUUCUUUCCUUUGGCCUUUUGCAUUGGUAGGUUUGCAUUGCUUUUAACAGCAUACUUUCUAGAAGCUCCUUUGCACUUAUUAUUAGAUCUGUAGUUCCUAUCCUUACCGACCAUAUUGAUUUAACAAUUGGAUGUAUAGUUUGUACUUGGUGUAUAUUGAUAUUUUUGCAUAUGAAAAUUGACCUUUUGUUCCCCAUUGAGUCGAUAUUCAGCUGUGGAGCCUUUUGUUAAUCACUGUCUGAAGGCUGCUGCAAUAUUCUUGCCAAAUUUGUAAAUGGAGCAUUUCUGUAACUUUAUCUACUCAUCAUUUUGGCUUCAAAUCUCAACACUACUUUUGUUCUUUUGUUGUCCUUUACUUUGCAAGCGGAGUUCCAAAAAGCCUUAGCAUAUCCCUUACGAUAGGUUUCCUUUCCACCCAAAAUUCGCUUUUGACUAAUUGAAGAUGUUAGUGCCACAGCAGUUAAUUAUGUAAUUUGGAAAAUGAUGGAGAGAAGAUGUGAGACUGUGAGACGGGAGGGGGUUAUAUACUGCACCUCUUAGUUUGGGGCUUAUGGUCCUCGAGAUUGCAAUUGGAGUGUGAAAACUAAAUCUUUCUAUUUUUUGGGUGUCAGAAUGGAUGUUUUCUCUCUGGGAUGAGAUGGUAACUGAUGGAUCAAUUCUCAUUAACUCAUUCUCAUAUUCUUUUGCUUUUGCCUUUCUUUCCCUUAAACGUUAAAAUGUAAAAGCUGUAUUUUCGGCCAAUAUAGAGGAUUUUUAUGUUUAAAAGUUUACUCCUGUGCGGGAUUCAUGUAAAUGCAAGUUUAAAUCAAGGGCAUCUUAGUAAUGUCAGCACAAUCCUAUUUACUGCAUAUCUUGUCUUGUGAAUAUAUCCAGCCUACCGUUUGCAUGCAAGUAGAAUCCUUGCCCUAACGUUUUUUUGUCCUCGAGGAUACAUUAUUAUGUGUUAUUAAUGUCCUUGUUGUGGACACAUUGUUAUGUGACAUUAAUGUCCUUGCUGUAGACAUACAACUAAAUCAAAGCGAGUUAAUAACUGUAGAAUGCUGAUAGCAUGGAUGACAGAUGCUACGGAGGGGCCUGGAACGAGGAUUCUUGGAUGGUGGUUCACUUUCGAAAUGAUGCCAUUUUAUUUCAACCUGGAAAACAGUAAGGUCCCUUUCAUGUUGGCGCCAGGCCGUUUCUUUCCCAUUGAACUGCUUUACACAAUUGGUUACUAGGCUGGAUGAGGAGGACCGGUGUUUUGUUUGGGACCCAUGUGAUGAAUUUUCAAUUUUGAUGGUGGCUCUGAUUUUCUCUUUCUUAGCUUUGUACAGCUCAGUUGCUUUAGAAAAGCAUCUUUGAAGCUGACAUGAAGAAGCACGGAUGCACAAUUUUGGUUCUGGUUGAUUGCCAGUCUUUUCGCGGACAACAAUUGGCUCAAAAAGUGGGGUUGAAAAGAGAACACUGUGAAAUAAUUGCAGGAUUUGCCUGACUUUUAAAGUUUUCAGGUGGUUGUGAUGCAGGAAGUGAAUUUGUUAGAGUCUAGUUGAUUGAUUGAGAUUUGAGAGAUUUUAUUAUGGUAAGUAAAUCAAAUGUCCAAAAUUUCCCAAAUUAUGAAACUAAGCUGAAGUCCAUUUCUCUCUUGCACAAACUUUUCUUUUUUUAAAGCCUAACCUCCGUUCUUGAAACUGGUUGUGAAGGCAAAGGGCAAAACUUUAGACCCA